RNAcentral lists this ribosomal RNA (394 nucleotides) under uncultured bacterium. RNAcentral's name for it is "partial 16S ribosomal RNA". It matches the Rfam family "Bacterial small subunit ribosomal RNA", at positions 523 to 918 of the family's 1533-position model. The record is from RNAcentral.
AUACGUAGGGAGCGAGCGUUGUCCGGAAUUACUGGGCGUAAAGGGCGCGUAGGCGGCGCUUCAAGUCGUCUGUCAAAUGGGAGGGCUUAACCCUUUUUCGCAGACGAAACUGGAGAGCUUGAGAAGCAGAGAGGCAAACAGAAUUCCUGGUGUAGCGGUGAAAUGCGUAGAUAUCAGGAAGAAUACCAGUGGCGAAGGCGGUUUGCUGGCUGCAUACUGACGCUGAAGCGCGAAAGCCAGGGGAGCAAACGGGAUUAGAGACCCCGGUAGUCCUGGCAGUAAACGAUGUAUGCUGGGUGUGAGACUAGCGAUAGUUUCGUGCCGAAGUUAACGCGAUAAGCAUACCGCCUGGGGAGUACGGUCGCAAGAUUGAAACUUAAAGGAAUUGGCGGGG